GAUGAAGAACGUAGCGAAAUGCGAUAAGUAGUGUGAAUUGCAGAAUUUAGUGAAUCAUCGAAUCUUUGAACGCACAUUGCGCCCUUUGGUAUUCCUUAGGGCAUGCCUGUUCGAGCGUCAUCUACACCCUCAAGCACAGCUUGGUGAUGGGCGCCUGUCCCGCCCCCCACGGGGGCGCGGACUCGCCUCAAAUGCAUUGGCGGCCGGCGACCUGGCUUCGAGCGCAGCAGAAACGCGUACUCGGGGACCGGGCGCCCGCUCCCAGAAGCCAACCCACCCAGUUUGACCUCGGAUCAGGUAGGGAUACCCGCUGAACUUAAGCAUGUCAAUAAGCGGAGGA
Molecule: unclassified non-coding RNA, 340 nt
Filed under: soil metagenome
Description: partial contains 5.8S ribosomal RNA, internal transcribed spacer 2, and large subunit ribosomal RNA
Rfam family: 5.8S ribosomal RNA (bases 1-120)
Source: RNAcentral